Molecule: ribosomal RNA, 501 nt
Filed under: uncultured bacterium
Lineage: Bacteria
Description: partial 16S ribosomal RNA
Rfam family: Bacterial small subunit ribosomal RNA
Source: RNAcentral
ACUCAAAGGAAUUGACGGGGGCCCGCACAAGCGGUGGAGCAUGUGGUUCAAUUCGACGCAACGCGAAGAACCUUACCAGGCCUUGACAUCCCGGUCGCGGCCCCUCGAAAGAGGGGCUUUCAGUUCGGCUGGACCGGUGACAGGUGCUGCAUGGCUGUCGUCAGCUCGUGUCGUGAGAUGUUGGGUUAAGUCCCGCAACGAGCGCAACCCUCGCCCUUAGUUGCCAUCAUUCAGUUGGGCACUCUAAGGGGACUGCCGGUGAUAAGCCGCGAGGAAGGUGGGGAUGACGUCAAGUCCUCAUGGCCCUUACGGCCUGGGCCACACACGUGCUACAAUGGCGGUGACAAUGGGCAGCAAAAGCGCAAGCUCGAGCUAAUCUCAAAAAGCCGUCUCAGUUCGGAUUGGAGUCUGCAACUCGACUCCAUGAAGUCGGAAUCGCUAGUAAUCGUGGAUCAGCACGCCACGGUGAAUACGUUCCCGGGCCUUGUACACACCGCCCGU